RNAcentral lists this ribosomal RNA (550 nucleotides) under uncultured Tumebacillus sp. Its description in RNAcentral is "bacterial SSU rRNA". It matches the Rfam family "Bacterial small subunit ribosomal RNA", at positions 355 to 896 of the family's 1533-position model. The record is from RNAcentral. Lineage: Bacteria; Bacillati; Bacillota; Bacilli; Caryophanales; Alicyclobacillaceae.
UAGGGAAUCUUCCGCAAUGGGCGCAAGCCUGACGGAGCAACGCCGCGUGAGUGAUGAAGGCCUUUCGGGUUGUAAAACUCUGUCUUCUGUGAAGAACCAUCCUGUGCAGAGAAAGCUCAGGACCUGACGGUAACAGAGGAGGAAGCCCCGGCUAACUACGUGCCAGCAGCCGCGGUAAUACGUAGGGGGCGAGCGUUGUCCGGAAUCACUGGGCGUAAAGCGCGCGCAGGCGGUCUUUCACGUCCGGGGUGAAAGCCCAGAGCUCAACUCUGGGAUUGCCUUGGAUACGGGGAGACUUGAGGGUCGGAGAGGCAAGGGGAAUUCCACGUGUAGCGGUGAUAUGCGUAGAGAUGUGGAGGAACACCUGUGGCGAAGGCGCCUUGCUGGCCGAUUUCUGACGCUGAGGCGCGAACGCGUGGGGAGCAAACAGGAUUAGAUACCCUGGUAGUCCACGCCGUAAACGAUGAGUGCUAGGUGUUAGGGGGCCCACCCCUUAGUGCCGAAGCUAACGCAUUAAGCACUCCGCCUGGGGAGUACGGUCGCAAGACUG